GACGAACGCUGGCGGCGUGCUUAACACAUGCAAGUCGAACGGAAAGGCCCUGCUUUUGUGGGGUGCUCGAGUGGCGAACGGGUGAGUAACACGUGAGUAACCUGCCCUUGACUUUGGGAUAACUUCAGGAAACUGGGGCUAAUACCGGAUAGGAGCUCCUGCUGCAUGGUGGGGGUUGGAAAGUUUCGGCGGUUGGGGAUGGACGCGCGGCUUAUCAGCUUGUUGGUGGGGUAGUGGCUUACCAAGGCUUUGACGGGUAGCCGGCCUGUGAGGGUGACCGGCCACAUUGGGACUGAGGUACGGCCCAGACUCCUACGGGAGGCAGCAGUGGGGAAUAUUGCACAAUGGGCGGAAGCCUGAUGCAGCAACGCCGCGUGCGGGAUGACGGCCUUCGGGUUGUAAACCGCUUUCGCCUGUGACGAAGCGUGAGUGACGGUAAUGGGUAAAGAAGCACCGGCUAACUACGUG
RNAcentral lists this ribosomal RNA (468 nucleotides) under uncultured bacterium. Its description in RNAcentral is "partial 16S ribosomal RNA". It matches the Rfam family "Bacterial small subunit ribosomal RNA", at positions 28 to 507 of the family's 1533-position model. The record is from RNAcentral.